AUUGAACGCUGGCGGCAGGCCUAACACAUGCAAGUCGAGCGAGCGGCGGACGGGUGAGUAAUGUAUGGGGACUGCCCGAUAGAGGGGGAUAACUACUGGAAACGGUGGCUAAUACCGGAUAGUGUGGGAUGGACCGCGGCCUAUCAGCUUGUUGGUUGGGUAAGGGCUCACCUAGGCGACGAUCUCUAGCUGGUCUGAGAGGAUGAUCAGCCACACUGGGACUGAGACACGGCCCAGACUCCUACGGAGGCAGCAGUGGGGAAUAUUGCACAAUGGGCGCAAGCCUGAUGCAGCCAUGCCGCGUGUAUGAAGAAGGCCUUAGGGUUGUAAAGUACUUUCAGCGGGGAGGCGUUACCCGCAGAAGAAGCACCGGCUAACUCCGUGCCAGCAGCCGCGGUAAUUC
This 403-nucleotide ribosomal RNA is filed under the name uncultured bacterium. Its description in RNAcentral is "partial 16S ribosomal RNA". It matches the Rfam family "Bacterial small subunit ribosomal RNA", at positions 30 to 526 of the family's 1533-position model. The record is from RNAcentral.